GAACGGGAUCUUCGGAUUNAGUGGCGGACGGGUGAGUAACGCGUGAGAAUCUGCCUUCAGGUCUGGGACAACCACUGGAAACGGUGGCUAAUACCGGAUGUGCCGCAAGGUGAAAGGUUAACUGCCUGAAGAUGAGCUCGCGUCUGAUUAGCUAGUUGGAAGUGUAACGGACUCCCAAGGCGACGAUCAGUAGCUGGUCUGAGAGGACGAUCAGCCACACUGGGACUGAGACACGGCCCAGACUCCUACGGGAGGCAGCAGUGGGGAAUUUUCCGCAAUGGGCGAAAGCCUGACGGAGCAAUACCGCGUGAGGGAGGAAGGCUCUUGGGUCGUAAACCUCUUUUCUCAGGGAAGAACACAAUGACGGUACCUGAGGAAUAAGCAUCGGCUAACUCCGUGCCAGCAGCCGCGGUAAUACGGAGGAUGCAAGCGUUAUCCGGAAUGAUUGGGCGUAAAGCGUCCGCAGGUGGCAAUGUAAGUCUGCUGUUAAAGAGUCUAGCUCAACUAGAUAAGAGCAGUGGAAACUACAUAGCUAGAGUACGUUCGGGGCAGAGGGAAUUCCUGGUGUAGCGGUGAAAUGCGUAGAGAUCAGGAAGAACACCGGUGGCGAAGGCGCUCUGCUAGGCCGUAACUGACACUGAGGGACGAAAGCUAGGGGAGCGAAUGGGAUUAGAUACCCCAGUAGUCCUAGCCGUAAACGAUGGAUACUAGGCGUGGCUUGUAUCGACCCGAGCCGUGCCGUAGCUAACGCGUUAAGUAUCCCGCCUGGGGAGUACGCCGGCAACGG
This 787-nucleotide ribosomal RNA is filed under the name Nostoc sp. 'Nephroma arcticum cyanobiont 16'. RNAcentral's name for it is "bacterial SSU rRNA". It matches the Rfam family "Bacterial small subunit ribosomal RNA", at positions 64 to 894 of the family's 1533-position model. Lineage: Bacteria; Bacillati; Cyanobacteriota; Cyanophyceae; Nostocales; Nostocaceae. The record is from RNAcentral.